AGAGUUUGAUCAUGGCUCAGAAUGAACGCUGGCGGCGUGCUUUACACAUGCAAGUCGAGCGAGGCGGCCCGCAAGGGUCAGUCGAGCGGCGAACGGGUGAGUAACGCGUGGAUUAUCUACCCUGAGGUGGGGGAUAACCCGGGGAAACUCGGGCUAAUACCGCAUGAUACCGUGAGGUCAAAGGGGGCUCGCAAGGGCUCUCGCCAUAGGAGGAGUCCGCGUCCGAUUAGCUAGUUGGUAGGGUAAUGGCCUACCAAGGCGACGAUCGGUAGCCGGCCUGAGAGGGUGAUCGGCCACACUGGAACUGAGACACGGUCCAGACUCCUACGGGAGGCAGCAGUGGGGAAUUUUGCGCAAUGGGCUAACGCCUGACGCAGCAACGCCGCGUGGAGGAUGAAGGUCUUUGGAUUGUAAACUCCUGUCGACCGGGAAAAAGCAACUCGACCUAAUACGUCGGGGAGUUGAUUGUACCGGUGGAGGAAGCCCCGGCUAACUCUGUGCCAGCCGCCGCGGUAAUAC
This 519-nucleotide ribosomal RNA is filed under the name uncultured bacterium. Its description in RNAcentral is "bacterial SSU rRNA". It matches the Rfam family "Bacterial small subunit ribosomal RNA", at positions 8 to 526 of the family's 1533-position model. The record is from RNAcentral.